Molecule: long non-coding RNA, 436 nt
Organism: Bos taurus (domestic cattle)
Lineage: Eukaryota; Metazoa; Chordata; Mammalia; Artiodactyla; Bovidae
Source: Ensembl
GCCCUGCCUCUCCGGGCCCAGAUUCCCCUGCGGCCGACUCCGGAGGGGGAAAUGCCCUUGUGUACUUAUCCGGGACGUCGUGUUUCUUUCUUGGGACUGUUGUCUGGGUCUGCACGUAGGGCCUGUCCUUGCCAGCGAUCAGACCUUCCGACCCCACCAGGGUCAGAGCUGCCUGGGCCUGAGGGGGCCCUGCCCUGAGGAGGACGCCGAGGCUUUGAGCAGGUAGCCAGGGGAACCAGGGCCUCGGAGUCUGGACGCUAAGGUCCUUGAGAGAGACUGGGAAGGGCCUUGCUGGCUUAUGGCGGGGAACUGGAGGGUGGAAGUCGAGGAAGGGGCUGGGAGAGGAGGAGCCAGCCCUCAGGCUGGGCUGGGUGUAGAGGACCGGAGACUCAGAGCAGUCAGAGAGAAGCCGAGCCUGGUGAUGUGAAAAGAGUAG